Molecule: ribosomal RNA, 466 nt
Filed under: uncultured bacterium
Lineage: Bacteria
Description: partial 16S ribosomal RNA
Rfam family: Bacterial small subunit ribosomal RNA
Source: RNAcentral
GAUGAACGCUGGCGGCGUGCUUAACACAUGCAAGUCGAACGGAAAGGCUCCUGCUUGCAGGGGUACUCGAGUGGCGAACGGGUGAGUAACACGUGGGUGAUCUGCCCUGCACUUCGGGAUAAGCCUGGGAAACUGGGUCUAAUACCGGAUAGGACGAUGGUUUGGAUGCCAUUGUGGAAAGUUUUUCGGUGUGGGAUGAGCUCGCGGCCUAUCAGCUUGUUGGUGGGGUAAUGGCCUACCAAGGCGUCGACGGGUAGCCGGCCUGAGAGGGUGUACGGCGACAUUGGGACUGAGAGACGGCCCAGACGCCGACGGGAGGCAGCAGGGGGGAAUAUUGCACAAUGGGCGCAAGCCUGAUGCAGAGACGCCGCGGGGGGGAUGCCGGCCUUCGGGUUGGAAACACCUUUCGCUAGGGACGAAGCGUUUUGUGACGGUACCUGGAGAAGAAGCACCGGCUAACUACGUG